This is a long non-coding RNA of Oncorhynchus nerka (sockeye salmon), 1267 nucleotides long. RefSeq lists it as uncharacterized. The record is from RefSeq and is a predicted model, not a curated record. The transcript has 4 exons. NCBI's taxonomy places the organism in Eukaryota, Metazoa, Chordata, Actinopteri, Salmoniformes, Salmonidae.
UCUGUAAAUGCCAUGUCUGUAGGUCUCUGUGUUUCACUCUCUCUUUGUGUAUUAACCUCUCUUUUGUUUGAGCACCUCCAUAGCACUUUGUCAUCACCUAUGCCUUGUAACUGGAGAUUCCUGCAAAACGUUUGCCUACAGUUACCGUGUAGGUCACUACAAGGUUGGGUGACCAGGGCCAUCUGGGAAUUCCUCCUUGGGGAAGGCUACCUCUGUGUCCUGCAUAACUUCAUUAGGAUGGACACGAGGACCAGGAGGGGUUCUGCAGCUCACCGCCGUGUGCCAGAUGAGAAGUCUGCUGCUCUGAAGGAUAUUUCAAGGAUGAGGUCCAACAACUCAGAAAGAGAGCCAUUCUGUGUGCGGGAGAUCUUCACCUCCUACUUCUUCAAAGAGGGUGCUGUUCCCUGGCAACACCAUAGACUAUACUAUGCACAACCAAAGGCUCUUUAUAAGCCAUCCACAUUGCAAUAAGAGUAUUCUUCCAUUUACUUAGCUAUGUCAACUGCAGUUACUCAAUUACCAGUUUCUCUCCCAUUGAUUUCUACUUCUCAGGUGAGGGUGCUGUUUAGUUAUGGGUGUGAUGUUGGUACCAAAACAAAACAGGCUUUUUUAAGUACCCAUAUUGGAAAAAUAAACAAUUAGUCACCCUAUAACCCACACCUACACACUCAUGUACCAAUCUGGUUGAUUGUGUUGUGCAGUAAGCAGGCUCAGGUGUAUAACUGUGGCUCCUUCCACCUUCAAAGAAUAGGCAAGAGGGCCAACCAUGGAGAAUAGUAAGACACUUCAGUAUCUCUAUAACUACGUUAUUAUUGUUUGUCCUUGUGUCUGCAUGUUUUUCAGAACAAAGUACUCUGCAGCCACUUAGUGUGGACACCAGCUGUCGGUGAACCCCUCCAGCAUCUGAACUGGCUACAUAGAGGGCACAGCAUGGUGAGAGGUCGGGUCAACAGGAAGUAUUAUUAAAGAUGCUUUCCAUUGAAAUACAGAUUUAGUGAUCCAAGGUAUGUUUUGAUCUGAGAGGAUGCCAACCUCCAGUCCCAUCAUCGCCACCUCACCCACUCUUAAGAUAACCUUCGGGCUGACUGGAGCCCAAGCCUCUUUCUUCACGUUUUUAUAAUGCACACCAAAUGUGCAUAUAAGUACAGAUUGAAUUUGUGUUUAUAAUAAAGUAUUACAAUUAUAUUUAUAAUGUAUUUAUAACCCUUGGAUAAUUAACUUCUUUCAAUAAAGAGUUUCACAUUCUCUACUGGUUGAAAUGAAGCCU